AUUGAACGCUGGCGGAAUGCUUUACACAUGCAAGUCGAACGAUGAAGUCUAGCUUGCUAGACGGAUUAGUGGCGGACGGGUGAGUAAUAUAUCGGAACGUAUCCAUUAAUGGGGGAUAACUAGCCGAAAGGUUAGCUAAUACCGCAUACGCCCUGAGGGGGAAAGCUGGGGAUCUUCGGACCUGGCGUUAAUGGAGCGGCCGAUACCUGAUUAGGUAGUUGGUGGGGUAAGGGCCUACCAAGCCUGCGAUCAGUAGCUGGUCUGAGAGGACGACCAGCCACACUGGGACUGAGACACGGCCCAGACUCCUACGGGAGGCAGCAGUGGGGAAUUUUGGACAAUGGGCGAAAGCCUGAUCCAGCCAUUCCGCGUGAGUGAAGAAGGCCUUCGGGUUGUAAAGCUCUUUCGCAAGGGAAGAACACUUACUUAAUAACACUAAGUGAGGUUGACGGUACCUUGAUAAGAAGCACCGGCUAACUACGUGCCAGCAGCCGCGGUAAUACGUAGGGUGCGAGCGUUAAUCGGAAUUACUGGGCGUAAAGCGUGCGCAGGCGGUUUUGUAAGUCAGAUGUGAAAUCCCCGAGCUCAACUUGGGAACUGCGUUUGAAACUACAAGACUAGAAUAUGUCAGAGGGGGGUAGAAUUCCACGUGUAGCAGUGAAAUGCGUAGAGAUGUGGAGGAAUACCAACGGCGAAGGCAGCCCCCUGGGAUAAUAUUGACGCUCAUGCACGAAAGCGUGGGGAGCAAACAGGAUUAGAUACCCCGGUAGUCCACGCCCUAAACGAUGUCUACUAGUUGUUGGUGGAGUAAAAUCCAUGAGUAACGCAGCUAACGCGUGAAGUAGACCGCCUGGGGAGUACGGUCGCAAGAUUA
RNAcentral lists this ribosomal RNA (874 nucleotides) under uncultured bacterium. RNAcentral's name for it is "bacterial SSU rRNA". It matches the Rfam family "Bacterial small subunit ribosomal RNA", at positions 28 to 896 of the family's 1533-position model. The record is from RNAcentral.